This is a long non-coding RNA of Esox lucius (northern pike), 477 nucleotides long. RefSeq lists it as uncharacterized. The record is from RefSeq and is a predicted model, not a curated record. The transcript has 4 exons. Lineage: Eukaryota; Metazoa; Chordata; Actinopteri; Esociformes; Esocidae.
ACUGCCAAGAUGGCGACAACCAUCUCCGCCAAAAAUGAGCUUCAAAACGGGUCUUCAAACACCUAUAACAAGGGCAAGCAAAACAAAGGCUUUAAUGUGGGAGUCCAUAUUGUUUUCCGACUUGGACGCUGGAACACUUCAACUUGGUUUAACUCGGGUGUGACGUCAUUCACAGUUCCGACUUCUGAGGUUUAUUUGGUAGCCAUGGUAACCCAAUAUCAUAGUGGAGCACAUGGAUUUCAAGCUGCAAGUCUGAUGCCUUGAUGUCCAGAAAAGUGUGACAUGGCUCCAAAAGCAGCUGCCCAAAGGUCCAAAUCAUACAGAAAACGUCUAAAAGAUAAUCCUGAGAAAUAUGCACAGUAUCUGCAGAGUGAGAAAGAGAGAUAUCGUAGAAGAAGAGAAACAGGAAAAUUUAAAUCUGUUUCGCUAUUGAGCACACGAGAACACAGAUAUGAAAAAAAGAGAUGGAAAGUUAAU